RNAcentral lists this ribosomal RNA (253 nucleotides) under uncultured bacterium. RNAcentral's name for it is "partial 16S ribosomal RNA". It matches the Rfam family "Bacterial small subunit ribosomal RNA", at positions 524 to 776 of the family's 1533-position model. The record is from RNAcentral.
UACGGAGGGUGCAAGCGUUAUCCGGAUUCACUGGGUUUAAAGGGUGCGUAGGUGGGAAUGUAAGUCAGUGGUGAAAUCUCCGUGCUUAACACGGAAACUGCCAUUGAUACUAUGUUUCUUGAAUUUUCCGGAGGUCAGCGGAAUAUGUCAUGUAGCGGUGAAAUGCUUAGAUAUGACAUAGAACACCAAUUGCGAAGGCAGCUGGCUACUCGGAUAUUGACACUGAGGCACGAAAGCGUGGGGAUCAAACAGG